AUGCCUCCCAAGACACCAUCUUGGAAAGAACACCUAAGUCGAUCAACAUCUGCAGCAGUUACAGAAGUCAAAAGAAGCAGCUAUGACCUCAACCCUCGGGCAAAGAAGGGAGCAACAUUCAUAAAGGACUUUACCACCAAAGAGUCUCAUCUGGAAGAGUCUACAAAGACAAUCUUAGAUGCUGCAUUUCAACCUUUAGCACAAGCCAGCCCUACUGGAAAAUACAAGAACCUCCAAAGACCCAAAUUCUGGACUAGACCUCAGUGUCAAAGUCUACCGACCGAUACACAAACCAUUGAGAGGAAACAGAAUCAAUGUAACCAGUCAAAUAGCAGCAUUUUGAUGGGUAGGUGUCUUUUAGAAGUCAGUCAGAAACAGGAAGCCCUUCAGUCUGGGGUUAAAAGGUCAAACAGCGACAACUCCCAGACAUGUCUGGUGGUACCUCUGACACAGGGGGCCUCCCUCACACCCUCUACCCUGUCAGAGGCCCCUGAGAGAUCAACUAUUAAACAUGGACAGGGCUUGGAUUUGGACCAUUGCCAAAAUAUCAAUAGUGGUCAAGUUACAGAAUCCACCAAACUCAAUCUAGAUGAAUGUGUGCUGCACAGUGGAACCGUUCCCAAAAUGUUCAGCCAAUCACAGAAACCUAUUUUACAUCCUGUCCAAUUGGCUUUGCGAAUGGUGAAGAACAACGACGGAAAUCACAAAGGAGUCCAAGGACUAAGGCCAGUUCAUCUAGAACCCACCCAAACAGGUCCACCUCCACCACCUGACCAUGAGAGGCCCAACAUAAACCCAUCAGAAUAUUUCUCAGAAGAAUGGACUGUGCACUGGCCCCUGUCCAUGGAGCGCAAUGAGCAGCACAAAACACCACAGGUUGGCCCAGAUUCAACAGAGGUCGCUGAGCAACCAUCUCAACCCCAGAGCCAGGGUAUAGACUGCUACAUACCAGGAGAGAUGGAUAUCUCACCAUCACAUGAAUUGGAUCACCCUCUUUCAAGCAUGACAUUUGUUGAUGAAGAGGCAGAGCAAUUACAUGAUGACAUCACCACACCUCCUCGAGUGUAUUUGUCAAUGGGUGAGUAA
This is a long non-coding RNA of Oncorhynchus kisutch (coho salmon), 1086 nucleotides long. The record is from Ensembl. NCBI's taxonomy places the organism in Eukaryota, Metazoa, Chordata, Actinopteri, Salmoniformes, Salmonidae.